UACCUCUCAGGAUUGCACCUGGAGAGUUUCCAGUCCUCUACCAGUCUCAGCUAUGGAAGGGAGAGUCAAGCAGAGGCCUGCCCAUUCCAAUCUUAGUUUGGGCAGUGGCUAGCGAGUGGAAGGCAAUCUGCUACGAGU
Tachyglossus aculeatus (Australian echidna) is the source of this 138-nucleotide small nucleolar RNA. The record is from RefSeq and is a predicted model, not a curated record. NCBI's taxonomy places the organism in Eukaryota, Metazoa, Chordata, Mammalia, Monotremata, Tachyglossidae.